GUUUUCAUAGUUUAAAAUCCAAAACAUUGGUCUUGUAAACCAAUAAUGAAUAGAUUUCUGUAAACU
This 66-nucleotide transfer RNA is filed under the name Cyclograpsus granulosus. RNAcentral describes it as "tRNA-Thr". It matches the Rfam family "tRNA". Rfam says of the family: Transfer RNA (tRNA) molecules are approximately 80 nucleotides in length. Their secondary structure includes four short double-helical elements and three loops (D, anti-codon, and T loops). Lineage: Eukaryota; Metazoa; Arthropoda; Malacostraca; Decapoda; Varunidae. The record is from RNAcentral.